RNAcentral lists this ribosomal RNA (620 nucleotides) under uncultured bacterium. Its description in RNAcentral is "bacterial SSU rRNA". It matches the Rfam family "Bacterial small subunit ribosomal RNA", at positions 430 to 1063 of the family's 1533-position model. The record is from RNAcentral.
CCUCUUUCGACCGGGACGAAGGGUGACUGACGGUACCGGUAGAAGAAGCACCGGCCAACUACGUGCCAGCAGCCGCGGUAAUACGUAGGGUGCGAGCGUUGUCCGGAAUUAUUGGGCGUAAAGAGCUCGUAGGCGGUGUGUCACGUCGGUCGUGAAAACUUGGGGCUCAACCCUGAGCGUGCGGUCGAUACGGGCAGACUAGAGUGCGGUAGGGGUGACUGGAAUUCCUGGUGUAGCGGUGGAAUGCGCAGAUAUCAGGAGGAACACCGAUGGCGAAGGCAGGUCACUGGGCCGCAACUGACGCUGAGGAGCGAAAGCAUGGGGAGCGAACAGGAUUAGAUACCCUGGUAGUCCAUGCCGUAAACGUUGGGCACUAGGUGUGGGGCUCAUUCCACGAGUUCCGUGCCGCAGCAAACGCAUUAAGUGCCCCGCCUGGGGAGUACGGCCGCAAGGCUAAAACUCAAAGAAAUUGACGGGGGCCCGCACAAGCGGCGGAGCAUGCGGAUUAAUUCGAUGCAACGCGAAGAACCUUACCAAGGCUUGACAUACACCGGAAAAGUGCAGAGAUGUGCUCCCCGUAAGGUCGGUGUACAGGUGGUGCAUGGUUGUCGUCAGCUCGU